GCAAGGAUUGGAACUCAAAGGAAUUGACGGGGGUCUAACACUAGUGGUGGAGCAUGUGGUUUAAUGCGAUAAUCCGCGCAAAAUCUUACCCAAUUCUUGACAUAUUGAAAUAGUUAUACAAAUUAAUACGGUUUUUUAUGUACAAUAUUUCUUUACAGGUGUUGCACGACUGUCGUCAGCUCGUGUCGUGAGACGUCUGGUUAAGUCCUGAAACGGGCGCAACUCUUGCUUUUUACGAAGUUUUUACAGAUUAAAAGUUUUUAUCGUAUGAGAAUCUUUUAAAUGCUUAAAAAGUACGGUCAACGAUAAGUUGAAGGAAGGUGAGAAUGAAGUCAAGUCAAUGUGACCCUAAUGAAUUGGGCUACACAUGUGCUACAAUGAAAAUUACAAAAAGUGACAAAAAAGAAAUUUGAGUUAAUCAACAAAAAUUUUCCCAGUUCGGAUUGUAAACUGCAACUCGUUUACAUGAAGUUGGAAUCACUAGUAAUCGCAAAUCAGCACGUUGCGGUGAACAUGUAACUUGGCC
Molecule: ribosomal RNA, 526 nt
Filed under: uncultured Alphaproteobacteria bacterium
Lineage: Bacteria; Pseudomonadati; Pseudomonadota; Alphaproteobacteria
Description: partial 16S ribosomal RNA
Rfam family: Bacterial small subunit ribosomal RNA
Source: RNAcentral